RNAcentral lists this ribosomal RNA (270 nucleotides) under uncultured archaeon. RNAcentral's name for it is "partial 16S ribosomal RNA". It matches the Rfam family "Archaeal small subunit ribosomal RNA", at positions 477 to 747 of the family's 1478-position model. The record is from RNAcentral.
CAGCACCUCAAGUGGUCAGGAUGAUUAUUGGGCCUAAAGCAUCCGUAGCCGGCUCUGUAAGUUUUCGGUUAAAUCUAUACGCUCAACGUACAGGCUGCCGGGAAUACUGCAGAGCUAGGGAGUGGGAGAGGUAGACGGUACUCGGUAGGAAGGGGUAAAAUCCUUUGAUCUAUUGAUGACCACCUGUGGCGAAGGCGGUCUACCAGAACACGUCCGACGGUGAGGGAUGAAAGCUGGGGGAGCAAACCGGAUUAGAUACCCGAGUAGUCC